CAUUGAUCUCUUCCUAGUGGUACCCUGCUCAUCCUAGCCUCAACUCCUCUAUCCAUCUCCCCUCCCUGUCUCGCUACACCUGUGAUAGCUACCGCUAAUAUGUCUGCUUUCUUCCUCAUUUUACGUUCCUCCUCACGCUUUGUCUCAGUUUCCCUAUUCAUAUAUACUUUAUUUGCAACCUCCAUUAACUGUGAUAUGGACAUCCCUGCAAAUCCCUCUAACGUUUGUAAUUUUCUCUUGAUAUUGUUCUGGGCCUGGCUGACAAAUGCUGACAAAUGCUGAGUUAAUCAUUCGGGCAAUAUGUGGUGGACCAGGGGUAAGCCGGAGAGGCAUUUGUAAAUGUCGGGAUUAAAGGGUACCAGUCAUUUGUCGAGUUAGUAUGGGACUUCGAUAGGGUUGUUUAGUAACAGGUUCCGAUCUGGGAGUAGUAAGGUAAGUGAAAGGGGGUGAGUUAAUUUUACUGGUCAGCAUUAGGUG
Pelobates cultripes (western spadefoot toad) is the source of this 477-nucleotide non-coding RNA. The record is from the annotation of a GenBank genome assembly. NCBI's taxonomy places the organism in Eukaryota, Metazoa, Chordata, Amphibia, Anura, Pelobatidae.